Molecule: long non-coding RNA, 1432 nt
Filed under: Phasianus colchicus (ring-necked pheasant)
Lineage: Eukaryota; Metazoa; Chordata; Aves; Galliformes; Phasianidae
Description: lncRNA (ENSPCLG00000010173.1)
Source: RNAcentral
ACCUGCUCCAACCACCCACCUACCACCAGUGCUGCCCAUCGAACCACGUCCCCAGGUGCCACAUCCCCACAGUUCUUCUCCAGGAACAGUGACCCCACCACCUCCCUGGGCAGCUGUGCCAAUGCCUGGUUGCUCUUUUGGGGAGUAACUUUUUCCUAACACCCAACCUGAACCUCCUCUGUCACAACUUGAGGCCAUUCCCUCUUGUCCUAUCCCUGGUUAUGCGGGAGCAGAGGCCUACUCUCACCCCACCACAGCCUCCUUACAGGGAGUUAUAGAGCGCAAUAUGGUCUCCCCUGGGCCUUCUCUUCUCCAGACUAAAUGACCCCAGUUCCUCCAGCUUCUUUCCAUUUUUACUCCACACCCCUCACAGCUCCAACCCCUCUGAACAUGCUCCGAGGUUUCCAGGUCUUUCUUGCAGUGAGGGGCCCAAAACUGAACACAGCACACGAGAUGUGAUCUCACCAGUGCCAGAACAGAGGGAUGCUCACCUCCUGCUGCCUGCACUGCUGCUGACCCACGCCAGGACGCCAUCUUGGACACCUGCUGGCUCUCAUUCAGCCAAGCAUCAACCAUUACCCACAGAUCCUUUCCCUGCGUAUAUUGUUUUUGACAUUACAAAUCAGAGAUCUUAAAGGGAAAAAAAAAAAAAAUCCCAUGAAACAAAGCAGCCUUUAGCUGUAGGAAGUUCACCUGCAAGUAAUUCUGACAAGACAGCUGUCCUGGGCAGGGCCUGUCCCCAAGCCUGGAGGCACCAACACAUCUGCACAGACCAGAUUUUCCUGCUGCUGUCCUAUUAUUGAAAGUGAUGACUCCAUACGCACCCAUCAGCCACGAUGGAUUAUUUCCCCCCCGUGCCCACAGCAGCAGCCAUCAGGAAAGCUCCGUCCUGCCGCUCCCCGCUCUGUGCGAUGCUGCUGCCCUCUGCUGCUCCGCCUGCCGCCGCAUUCAAAGAGCUGUUUGCCCGGAGGCAGCUCUCCCGGUUCCAUCCCGCGGGUCAGAAGCACAGGAACAUGGCAAAGAACGUGUCCUUUGCAGUUAAUAAAAACAUAGCAGAGCUCAACAGCUCUGAGUUUCUGCAAUUUUUAUCGUUUGGUGGGAAAAGAAAGGGGAAAAAAAAAAAAAAAAAAAAACACCUAAAACUAAUAAAUGACAUCUCCUGUCGUUCUGCCUGAUACAUGAGGAGCUGUGGGCAUCGCCACUCGGGCUCCUGUAGGCACUCAUACAAUCAGUUGUACAGCAGCAGAUCUGUUCCAGCAGCACUCCUUGUUCCCGAGAUCAGCGUGAGGGCAAACCUUGUGAGCACGUGUGAGUCUCCAGGCAGUUGCACUGAGCUCUGUUCUCGUUGUGGGUCGCAGAGCAGCCUGUAGGAUUCAGUCCUGCUCUAAGAACCGUCCUGGAGCUCCCCUACGAACCCGAAACCCUACUGCAC